GAUGAACGCUGGCGGUAUGCCUAACACAUGCAAGUCGUACGAGAGUUUUUAACUCUAGUGGCGGACGGGUGAGUAACACGUGAGAAUUUGCCUUUAGGAGGGGGACAACAAUUGGAAACGAAUGCUAAUACCCCAUAUGCUUUCGAGUGAAAUGGAUUUAUCCGCCUAGAGAGAAGCUCGCGGCUGAUUAGCUUGUUGGUAAGGUAAGAGCUUACCAAGGCGACGAUCAGUAUCUGGUUUGAGAGGACGAUCAGACACACUGGAACUGAGACACGGUCCAGACUCCUACGGGAGGCAGCAGUGGGGAAUUUUCCGCAAUGGGCGAAAGCCUGACGGAGCAAUACCGCGUGAGGGAAGAAUGCCUAUGGGUUGGUAAACCCUCUUUUUUUCCAGGGAGGGAAUAAAAUGACGUGUACCUG
Molecule: ribosomal RNA, 419 nt
Filed under: uncultured bacterium
Lineage: Bacteria
Description: bacterial SSU rRNA
Rfam family: Bacterial small subunit ribosomal RNA
Source: RNAcentral